RNAcentral lists this ribosomal RNA (442 nucleotides) under uncultured bacterium. RNAcentral's name for it is "partial 16S ribosomal RNA". It matches the Rfam family "Bacterial small subunit ribosomal RNA", at positions 338 to 795 of the family's 1533-position model. The record is from RNAcentral.
CCUACGGGGGGCAGCAGUGGGGAAUAUUGGGCAAUGGAGGAAACUCUGACCCAGCAACGCCGCGUGAAUGAUGAAGGUCUUCGGAUUGUAAAGUUCUUUUCUAAGGGAAGAAGAAAGUGACGGUACAUUAGGAAUAAGCCUCGGCUAACUACGUGCCAGCAGCCGCGGUAAUACGUAGGAGGCGAGCGUUAUCCGGAUUUAUUGGUGUAAAGGGGUGCGUAGGCGGUCCGUUACGUCAGCGGUAAAAUUGCGGGGCUCAACCCCGUCGAGCCGUUGAAACUGGCAGGCUUGAGUUGGCGAGAGGUACGCGGAAUGCGCGGUGUAGCGGUGAAAUGCAUAGAUAUCGCGCAGAACUCCGAUUGCGAAGGCAGCGUACCGGCGCCAGACUGACGCUGAGGCACGAAAGCGUGGGGAUCGAACAGGAUUAGAUACCCUUGUAGUC